RNAcentral lists this long non-coding RNA (986 nucleotides) under Ananas comosus (pineapple). RNAcentral describes it as "long non-coding RNA (ACOM_LNC027964)". The record is from RNAcentral. Lineage: Eukaryota; Viridiplantae; Streptophyta; Magnoliopsida; Poales; Bromeliaceae.
UUUUUGUUUUUGUUUUUUUUUAAUUGGCAAGUUGUGAGCUGUUGUGAGCUAAUUAAUUAGCAGGGUAGCAUUGGUUUCAUUCUUGCGAGGCGAGCGAGCGAGCGAGUCAAGUGCGUGCGUCGUGGUAGUGCCGCUGGAGGCCGGGCGAGCGCGGAAUUUCUUCUCCUAUCGACUUCUCGCUGUUGUGGAUUAGCUUUUGAGGUGGGUUAAUCGUCGGUUCGCUCCUAAGUAUAUUUGUAUAGUCGGCAUAUAUGCGUAAUAGCAUUUUGAAUAUCGCAUUUGCUCGAUUCAUGGAUUUAGCAUAGUUAUGAAUAAAAUCUGAAUUGGAGCCUUGUUCUUGACUAUAUCUAUUAGCACAUGUUGGACUUGGAUAUGACAUAGGAGAAAACCAGUGUUUUGGACCUGUCACCUGCUUACACUACCAGAUUUAGCUCUAGGAGCCGUUAUUAUUUUGUAUUGCCGCAGUAUAAGUGUGGUGGAUACCCCAGAUAGUGUAGGUUGCUGUUACGCUCGUGCUGGGAUGCCGAGCCUAUUUUUACAGUAGAGUUUAGACUGUUCCAGACUGUUGGGUGCCGUCGGAGCUGACGGUGGAUCCGGAUUGCCGUUCUGGCAUCAGAUUGUGCUGAGAGCACGUGACUUGUUUGGUGGUAGACCAUUUGGACCCUAUGUACUUGACUAUAGCCUGCGAGAGCCUGACUGAGCUCGACAAAGAUACGCUUGUAUACUCGGCUGGGUAGCGCCCACGAGUGCCACUCUGAAGUCGGGCUUAGUGCUUCUGCGUUGAUGUCGAGGUGUCCUAUUUGGACUUGCUAUCCACAGACUGCUUAGUGUAGAGGUAGCUUUAGCUUCGACAGGCGGGACGGGUAUGUUCACAGUCCCUGGGACGGGUAUGAUUACAGUCCCGAGUGAGAUUGGGUCAGGGUUGACAUCUUCUAUAGAUUGUUAGUGUUAGAGCAUGAUAGUAUAGAUAUUUUUAGCUGUAGAUU